GCCCAUUAAUUUCCUUACAGGCUUUAUCUGUUUGAUGUUUAUUAUGUCAGUUAAGCUCGCCUUUCUUUUUCCCCUUCUUUUUAUUGAUCAUUACUCUUGCCAUAUAUAGCUCAUCGGCAUCUUUUGAGUGGAAGUAAAUUUGAUACUCUUCUCAGGACCCUGUACAUAGCAUCUAAUACUUCAUCUUCGAAACAGAAUGAGCAGCAUUCUUACAUGCACUUAUAAUCUGGAAAGCAAGAAUAAUAUGUCAAAUCUUCUUGUGAUUCAGAUGAAAUGAUGGUGAAAAUAACUUUAAAAAAAAUACCAAACGCUUUCACGUAUCAACUAACAGAAAAAUCAUAGGCAGCAGUCCCCAUUUCAACGAUCCCAGUUCUUCAUGUCUGACUCUUUUGUUUCCACAAUCUUGUAAUCCAAGUUUAUCAGUAUUCCUUAAUCAGUUCCAUUAAGUGACGGAACUCCAUGCCAAUCAACCAGUCCAUCUUUUGGUUGCUCAGUACUUGAUUCUUUUCUAGAAAUACACGCAGCCUGGCAAUGAGUAUUGGAUUAAAAUAAAAU
RNAcentral lists this long non-coding RNA (555 nucleotides) under Ricinus communis (castor bean). RNAcentral's name for it is "long non-coding RNA (RCOM_LNC001048)". The record is from RNAcentral. Lineage: Eukaryota; Viridiplantae; Streptophyta; Magnoliopsida; Malpighiales; Euphorbiaceae.